AUGAUGAUUUAGAUUUAUUGUUUAUGGUUUACACCGAACACAAAAUGUGGAUGCUAUUCUAGGGCGGUCUGAUAUU
Small nucleolar RNA from Leptinotarsa decemlineata (Colorado potato beetle), 76 nucleotides. RefSeq annotates it as small nucleolar RNA U43. The record is from RefSeq and is a predicted model, not a curated record. Lineage: Eukaryota; Metazoa; Arthropoda; Insecta; Coleoptera; Chrysomelidae.